Molecule: long non-coding RNA, 1876 nt
Filed under: Mus pahari (shrew mouse)
Lineage: Eukaryota; Metazoa; Chordata; Mammalia; Rodentia; Muridae
Description: lncRNA (MGP_PahariEiJ_G0003847.1)
Source: RNAcentral
GCGCUUGCGCACGUCGGAGGGCCGCCCCUGGUCCGUGGGUCGGAUAUCUGGCGGUCACACCCAGCGCGAAGAUCUGCGGGCGGAAACGGAAUCUGCUCCUUCCGGGAAAGGCUGGCUGCGCGGUUGCGUGCAGCGUGUGUUGAGGAGCAGCUCUGGAAACUUAAAGAGCCCGACGAUCAAGUGAUCUUGCCAACUACCAUUUUAAUCAACUUCAUGUUUUAUUUUGUUGUGGUGGUACAGAGCCCAAUGCAAGCCCUGGCAGAUGUCUUCAACACCAGAGUGACACUCAGGCCAGGAUUGAGGGCUGGAAGCACAGGGGCAAGAAAUACCUUUGAAACACUCCAGUGCCCAAAUUGCUCACUGGUGUUUCUGCCUUGUGAGCCAGGGCACGAGGCUUUGUUUGGGUCACUACUUUUCAUUCCUUCCAAGAUGGACAAGAUGUUUGUUUUGUGCACAGUAAGUGGAACACAGGGCCUCCAGCAUGGUGCUUGUAUGAUCUCAUCAGAAACUAAGGAAUAGAUCAGUGUCUUGAACAUGCUACGCAAGCCCCCUAACAGCCAAGCGAUUCCAGCAGCUCUACAGACACCCUUUCACUGAGCAGUUAUUUCUCCUCAGAUGUUCUGAUUGCUGUGGGCAGCCUCCAAACACUUUGAAAAAGCUGGAGAGAAAGGUAAACUUGAAAAGGGGAAUGCAAGAUAGAGGAGGCAAAGGGAGAGAAGCAGGCUCAACUGUGUUCAUCUCAACAGGGCUGGGGCCUGCAGGCUGCUGGCAGCACCAAGCUAAGGUGCAUUUCCACUCAACGGAAAGACCUCCAUCCUAAACCAAGGGGACAGAGGUUAAUGCUUUAUAUAUAUUUAUAUAUUUAUAUAUUACAUAUGUCCCAUAUGUAUAAAGUGACAAGAAUGGGCCACUUUGUGUAACUUUAAUUAAAGGACAUAGCAACAGACAUAGAAAUUUGAUCCUAAUUAAGGCCCUUACUUUGUCAAUCAAAUGUCUGAUACAGUAAAAGAAACUGGAGAAAGACAGAGACUGAGAUCCAGCCUCCUCUGGUAGCCCUGUCUCCAGGUUAUCUUACAUUGAGUGUCGUGCCCCCUGUACAGGUAAACAAACACACACAUAAACACACACGUACAAUACCACAGGCAGGAGCACCUCCUCUGACCACACCUUGGGCCCAGCCUUUGGCUGCGGUGCUGAAGUGGAGUAUAUUGUGCUAUAAGACUGAGGGUAGUGAACCAGACAAUGUGGAGUCAUUGUGUCCAAGUGAUGAAUGGGGUGACUCGUGCAGCUUCAUCUAUAAAUGACAGGUCAGGGGGAGGUCCCUCAAUGCCCAGAUCAUAUCAGGAGAUUUCUACACACAGCUCCUGUUCCAGAGAAAGCCAUUACUCUGAUUUGAAUCCUGAGUGUCAAUCACAGGGCUCUGACGGAAACCUAGGAUUCUCUUGAAGGGCAGGCAGCCACAAGGCUCAGCCAUUCAGUCCAGUAGAGCAGUAGAGAGUACAACAGUGGAGGCAAAGCAAGUGAUCCUCAGACAGGACCUUAACUGAUGCAAGACAAGACCCUGGAUGGUGCAAGAGGGGCUCGUAUCCCAAAAGGAGUAGAAGGGCCUGCUGCCCUUUGCCACACAAAACUUCUGGCAGAUCUGUCAGCUUCAUGCCUUCCAUAAGUAACAGACCUGCUCAUAAGCCAGGGAAGGAGACUCCCAACAUUAGGGCACUUGAAAUCCUAACUCCCUGUUUUCUCUCACUGAAAUUACCCACCACCACCUACCAAAAUAUACAUAUUGAAAAUAAGUCAACAUAUUUGGCAGUAUGAUUUUUAGUAUUAAGAGAAUUUCGGAAUUUUUCAUCCUGAUUUUACACUCAGUAAUAAUUAA